GACGAACGCUGGCGGCGUGCUUAACACAUGCAAGUCGAGCGGGGCGGCGAACGGGUGAGUAACGCGUGAGUAACUGCCCCCCUCUCUGGGAUAACAGUUGGAAACGGCUGCUAAUACCGGAUAGUGGGGGAUGACUCGCGUCCUAUCAGCUUGUGGUUGGGGUAGUGGCCUACCAAGGCGACGACGGGGAGCCGGCCUGAGAGGGCGACCGGCCACAUUGGGAUGAGAUACGGCAGAGAGUCCUACGGGACGAAGGAGUGGGGAAUAUUGGGCAAUGGGCGCAAGCCUGAACCAGCAACGCCGCGUGAAGGAAGACGGUCUUCGGAUGGUAAACUUCUUUAUAAAGGGACGCGGUACCUGCAGAAUAAGCAACGGCUAACUACGUGCCAGCAGCCGCGGUAAUUC
This 405-nucleotide ribosomal RNA is filed under the name uncultured bacterium. RNAcentral's name for it is "partial 16S ribosomal RNA". It matches the Rfam family "Bacterial small subunit ribosomal RNA", at positions 28 to 526 of the family's 1533-position model. The record is from RNAcentral.